Long non-coding RNA from Neofelis nebulosa (Clouded leopard), 280 nucleotides. RefSeq lists it as uncharacterized. The record is from RefSeq and is a predicted model, not a curated record. NCBI's taxonomy places the organism in Eukaryota, Metazoa, Chordata, Mammalia, Carnivora, Felidae. The transcript has 3 exons.
UACAAAAUUGGGCCUUUACCCUUGAAGAUGCAAAGCAGGAGUUGAUAUGUGAGAUUAUUGUCAAAGGAUUUUCUAAGCAUCUGAAGAUGAAAUCAAGAGCCAUGGAUUGAAUAAACAGACUGAGAAGCUUCAUUAACUUUUUUCAAGUUAAUGGGGAAAUUGUAAUCAGAGCACUUUUCAACUGACAAUGAACCAGAAGAAAGUUUUUGAGGGACAUAGUUUUCAAAUAUAUGAAUGCGACCUGUGAAGUUUGGGCUCACAUAUCUGCAAAGGAGAUGAC